Molecule: ribosomal RNA, 525 nt
Filed under: uncultured Gammaproteobacteria bacterium
Lineage: Bacteria; Pseudomonadati; Pseudomonadota; Gammaproteobacteria
Description: bacterial SSU rRNA
Rfam family: Bacterial small subunit ribosomal RNA
Source: RNAcentral
GAGUUUGAUCGUGGCUCAGAUUGAACGCUGGCGGCGUGCCUAACACAUGCAAGUCGAGCGGUAACAGGCGUAGCAAUACGUGCUGACGAGCGGCGAACGGGUGAGCAAUGCUUCGGAAUCUGCCCAAUGGUGGGGAAUAACCAGUCGAAAGAUUGGCUAAUACCGCAUACGCCCUUCGGGGAAAGCGGGGUCGCAAGACCUCGCGCCGAUGGAUGAGCCGAAGUCGGACUAGCUAGUUGGUAGGGUAACGGCCGUACCAAGGCGACGAUCCGUAGCUGGUCUGAGAGGACGACCAGCCACACUGGGACUGAGACACGGCCCACGACUCCUACGGGAGGCAGCAGUGGGGAAGUAUUGGACAAUGGGGGCGAACCCUCGAUCCAGCGACGCCGCGUGUGUGAAGAAGGCCUGCGGGUUGUAAAGCACUUUUAGUGGGGAUGAAAAGCACAUCGCUAAUACCGGUGUGUCUUUGACCUAACCCAAAGAAAAGACACCGGCUAACUCUGUGCCAGCAGCCGCGGUAAC